GACGAACGCUGGCGGCGUGCUUAACACAUGCAAGUCGAACGGAAAGGCCCCUUUGGGGGUACUCGAGCGGCGAACGGGUGAGUAACACGUGAGUAACCUGCCCUUGACUUCGGGAUAACUUCAGGAAACUGGGGCUAAUACCGGCUAGGAAUCCUUGCUGCAUGGUGGGGGUUGGAAAGCUUCGGGGGGUUUGGAUGGACUGGCGGGUUAUCAGCUUGUUGGUGGGGUGGUGGCUUACCAAGGCUUUGACGGGUAGCCGGCCUGGGGGGGCGACCGGCCACAAUGGGACUGAGAUACGGCCCAGGCUCCUACGGGAGGCAGCAGUGGGGAAGAUUGCACAAUGGGCGGAAGCCUGAUGCAGCAACGCCGCGUGCGGGAUGACGGCCUUCGGGUUGUAAACCGCUUUCAGCAGGGGCGAAGCUUGUGGUGACGGUACCUGCAGAAGAAGCACCGGCUAACUACGUG
Molecule: ribosomal RNA, 465 nt
Filed under: uncultured bacterium
Lineage: Bacteria
Description: partial 16S ribosomal RNA
Rfam family: Bacterial small subunit ribosomal RNA
Source: RNAcentral